GAUGAACGCUGGCGGCGUGCCUAAUACAUGCAAGUCGAGCGAACAGACGAGGAGCUUGCUCCUUCGACGUUAGCGGCGGACGGGUGAGUAACACGUAGGUAACCUACCUAUAAGACUGGGAUAACUUCGGGAAACCGGAGCUAAUACCGGAUAAUAUUUCGAACCGCAUGGUUCGAUAGUGAAAGAUGGCUUUGCUAUCACUUAUAGAUGGACCUGCGCCGUAUUAGCUAGUUGGUAAGGUAACGGCUUACCAAGGCAACGAUACGUAGCCGACCUGAGAGGGUGAUCGGCCACACUGGAACUGAGACACGGUCCAGACUCCUACGGGAGGCAGCAGUAGGGAAUCUUCCGCAAUGGGCGAAAGCCUGACGGAGCAACGCCGCGUGAGUGAUGAAGGUCUUCGGAUCGUAAAACUCUGUUAUUAGGGAAGAACAAACGAGUAAGUAACUGUGCACGUCUUGACGGUACCUAAUCAGAAAGCCACGGCUAACUACGUG
Molecule: ribosomal RNA, 497 nt
Filed under: uncultured bacterium
Lineage: Bacteria
Description: partial 16S ribosomal RNA
Rfam family: Bacterial small subunit ribosomal RNA
Source: RNAcentral